CUCCCUGCCGAGUAAGGAGCCCUAUGUGGGACUCGAUCCCAGGACGCCGGGAUCAUGACCUGAGUUAAAGGCCGUCGGUUAACCAACUGAACCACCCAGGCGUCCCUCAAUAAUUAAUUUUUAAAAAUAUUCUUUUACUCUUCUCCCCAACCUCUUCCUAACAACUUCACAAGUCUUCUGUGUAAUAUAAAACAAAAAAAUAAUUCAAGUGUUCUUGCAUUGUAUUACCAAUGGGUAAGCAACACAUUAGUGGAUCCUGACAUCAAUAUAAUGGGUCAUGACCAGCACCAAAAAAAAGAGAAAAGAUCUAUUUGUCAUUUUUUGAGCCAUCUCUGUACUGUUUUCCAUUGCAGGACUCCAUUUGUCUGAGUAUCUAAAAUAGUUAAACUCAGAGAAGCAGGAGUAGAAUGGUAGUUGCAGGGGCUGUGAGUGGAAGGAGAAGUGGGGAGGAAGUUAAGGAGUAUAAAGCCUCAGUUACACAAGACGGAUACAUUCUGGUAACCGGUUGAGCAACAUUGUGUCUAGAGUUAACAACACUGUAUUGUACAAUCUAUUUGUUUAGAGAGUAGAUCUCAUGUUAAACUUUUCUACCAGAAUUUGAAAAAAAAAAAAAAAAGAAUCAUUAAGGAAGACGGUGAACAAAAGAAAGAAAUAAGAGAGAAAAGAAGGACUAAACUAGAAUCCGAAAUGUCAGAGUGCUUCUCACAUGUAUAAAAAUAGACACCAAGAUGGAGUUUGAUGUGUAUGGUAUUUAUUAGAGAUCAUCUGUGGAAAGAAGGUGAAGGAAGUGGGAUUUCUUCGUGGGAAAGAUCCUAGUACAAAACGGGCCAACAAUAGGAACCCUUUGGACAGCUCUGGAGCAGAAGCAGCCUAUCAGAGUGAUCCCUUGUUGGGCUGAAACGGCUGGGCCUUUGUCUCCUACAACAACCAGUCAAUGGAUGUGGGUCCCCCAGGAAGACCCAAGUUCUUGGGUUCUAGACUCCUGGAAUUUCCUGAGCGCUAGGAGCCCAUGGACCACACCUGAGUUAAAGCUAACAAGCUCUUGGUAUGAAACCCAGAGUAGGACUUGAACUCUGAGACCCUCAGACCAAUACCUGAGCUGAGAUCAAGAGUCGGAUGCUUAACUGACUGAGCCACCAGAUUUGAUCAUCAUUAUGUGGCCUACCAAAGCAUCCUUUUGAGGUUAAAGGAGUCACAAGAAGGUGACCUGCUAGCAACUUCCUUGGAAGAGAAGCAGCUCAACAAAGAACUUUCACGAAGGUCUAAGAACUUCAGGAUUAAAAUAAAGAUAAGGGUUUUUCUAUA
This is an RNA transcript of Mustela lutreola (European mink), 1305 nucleotides long. RefSeq lists it as uncharacterized. The transcript has 5 exons. Lineage: Eukaryota; Metazoa; Chordata; Mammalia; Carnivora; Mustelidae. The record is from RefSeq and is a predicted model, not a curated record.